This 1348-nucleotide ribosomal RNA is filed under the name Salmonella enterica. Its description in RNAcentral is "partial 16S ribosomal RNA". It matches the Rfam family "Bacterial small subunit ribosomal RNA", at positions 199 to 1533 of the family's 1533-position model. The record is from RNAcentral. RNAcentral also lists the same sequence under 3 other names. Lineage: Bacteria; Pseudomonadati; Pseudomonadota; Gammaproteobacteria; Enterobacterales; Enterobacteriaceae.
ACCUUCGGGCCUCUUGCCAUCAGAUGUGCCCAGAUGGGAUUAGCUUGUUGGUGAGGUAACGGCUCACCAAGGCGACGAUCCCUAGCUGGUCUGAGAGGAUGACCAGCCACACUGGAACUGAGACACGGUCCAGACUCCUACGGGAGGCAGCAGUGGGGAAUAUUGCACAAUGGGCGCAAGCCUGAUGCAGCCAUGCCGCGUGUAUGAAGAAGGCCUUCGGGUUGUAAAGUACUUUCAGCGGGGAGGAAGGUGUUGUGGUUAAUAACCGCAGCAAUUGACGUUACCCGCAGAAGAAGCACCGGCUAACUCCGUGCCAGCAGCCGCGGUAAUACGGAGGGUGCAAGCGUUAAUCGGAAUUACUGGGCGUAAAGCGCACGCAGGCGGUCUGUCAAGUCGGAUGUGAAAUCCCCGGGCUCAACCUGGGAACUGCAUUCGAAACUGGCAGGCUUGAGUCUUGUAGAGGGGGGUAGAAUUCCAGGUGUAGCGGUGAAAUGCGUAGAGAUCUGGAGGAAUACCGGUGGCGAAGGCGGCCCCCUGGACAAAGACUGACGCUCAGGUGCGAAAGCGUGGGGAGCAAACAGGAUUAGAUACCCUGGUAGUCCACGCCGUAAACGAUGUCUACUUGGAGGUUGUGCCCUUGAGGCGUGGCUUCCGGAGCUAACGCGUUAAGUAGACCGCCUGGGGAGUACGGCCGCAAGGUUAAAACUCAAAUGAAUUGACGGGGGCCCGCACAAGCGGUGGAGCAUGUGGUUUAAUUCGAUGCAACGCGAAGAACCUUACCUGGUCUUGACAUCCACAGAACUUUCCAGAGAUGGAUUGGUGCCUUCGGGAACUGUGAGACAGGUGCUGCAUGGCUGUCGUCAGCUCGUGUUGUGAAAUGUUGGGUUAAGUCCCGCAACGAGCGCAACCCUUAUCCUUUGUUGCCAGCGGUCCGGCCGGGAACUCAAAGGAGACUGCCAGUGAUAAACUGGAGGAAGGUGGGGAUGACGUCAAGUCAUCAUGGCCCUUACGACCAGGGCUACACACGUGCUACAAUGGCGCAUACAAAGAGAAGCGACCUCGCGAGAGCAAGCGGACCUCAUAAAGUGCGUCGUAGUCCGGAUUGGAGUCUGCAACUCGACUCCAUGAAGUCGGAAUCGCUAGUAAUCGUGGAUCAGAAUGCCACGGUGAAUACGUUCCCGGGCCUUGUACACACCGCCCGUCACACCAUGGGAGUGGGUUGCAAAAGAAGUAGGUAGCUUAACCUUCGGGAGGGCGCUUACCACUUUGUGAUUCAUGACUGGGGUGAAGUCGUAACAAGGUAACCGUAGGGGAACCUGCGGUUGGAUCACCUCCUUACCUUAAAGAA